CGCCGGUGUUGUUGUGAGAAGUUCAUUAAACCUUAUCAUUUAGAGGAAGGAGAAGUCGUAACAAGGUUUCCGUAGGUGAACCUGCGGAAGGAUCAUUG
RNAcentral lists this ribosomal RNA (98 nucleotides) under Lejeunea flava. RNAcentral's name for it is "partial 18S ribosomal RNA". It matches the Rfam family "Eukaryotic small subunit ribosomal RNA", at positions 1734 to 1831 of the family's 1831-position model. The record is from RNAcentral. RNAcentral also lists the same sequence under 1 other name. Lineage: Eukaryota; Viridiplantae; Streptophyta; Jungermanniopsida; Porellales; Lejeuneaceae.